CAGAUUUAGCCAUGCAUGUGUAAGCGAAGCUAUAUGUGGAGCGGUGAAAGGCUCAGUAACGGGCGAUUUAUUUAAUUUCCUGGGACGGACAACAUCGGGAAACUGAUGGGAAAACGUCUAAGUUGCAUUUAAUAUUAGUGUGACGUAAACGGUAAACGUGCAGGAGAGUAAGAUGCCAUCCUAUCAGUUAGUAAGUAGGGUAAGGGCCUACUUAGACGAAGACGGGUACGGGGAAUGAGGGUUUGAUUCCGGAGAGGGAGCCUGAGAGAUGGCUACCAGGACCAAGGUCAGCAGCAGGCGCGAAAAUUAUCGAAGCCCGCCUAGGGGCGAUAGUGAGGAGACGUGUAUAACGAAGUACGUGUAAAGAACGUACUAAUAACUGGAGGUCAAGUCUGGUGCCAGCAUCCGCGGUAAUUCCAGCUCCAGGGGUGUCUAUGAUGAUUGCUGCGAUUAAAAAGUCCGUAGUCAAGCUGASUGACUGACCUGCAAUGUGAUUGAUCAAAGAACGAGCAGGGUUAGGAAAGCAGAGAAUUAGGAGCGACCCGAGGGCUAGAGUAUUGAAUGGCGAGAGGUGAAAUUUGAUGACCCCAUUCAGGAGUGACAAAAGGCGAAGGCACUAGUCAACGGCGAAUCCGAUGAUCAAGGACGUAGGCUAGAGUUUCGAAAACGAUUAGAGACCGGAGUAGUUCUAGCAGUAAACUAUGCCGACGCCGUGAUAUCGUUUUUUUGUGCGUAUUGCGGAAGAGAAAUCAAGUAAGGCUUUGGGGAGAGUACGCGCGCAAGCGAUAAAUUUAAAGGAAAUGACGGAGGAACACCACAAGGAGGGGAGUGCGGCGCU
This 838-nucleotide ribosomal RNA is filed under the name Dictyocoela sp. All22. RNAcentral's name for it is "SSU rRNA". It matches the Rfam family "Microsporidia small subunit ribosomal RNA", at positions 39 to 824 of the family's 1311-position model. The record is from RNAcentral. Lineage: Eukaryota; Fungi; Microsporidia.